Molecule: non-coding RNA, 161 nt
Filed under: chicken gut metagenome
Description: Lysine riboswitch
Rfam family: Lysine riboswitch aptamer
About the family: Riboswitches are metabolite binding domains within certain messenger RNAs that serve as precision sensors for their corresponding targets. Allosteric rearrangement of mRNA structure is mediated by ligand binding, and this results in modulation of gene expression.
Source: RNAcentral
GAGAGUAGAGGCGCGGUGUUGAAGAGUAGCAUACGGCGGGAGGGCUUCACGGGUCUGGGCCGUUUGCGAAAGGCACCACCGCCGAAGAGCGCCGAGGUGUAAGGCGGCUCUGGGCGGAGGGAGAACAUCUCUUCGACUGUCGCGCAAGCGGAGAGCUACUG